CAGCCGCCACGGGAAAACGAACCGUGCGAACGUUAUUCGGAGUCACUGGGCUUAAAGCGCGUGUAGGCGGGCCGCCACGUCGGCUGCUGAAAUCCCCCGGCUCAACCGGGGAAGUGGCACCGAUACGAGCGGCCUCGAGGGGGGUAGGGGGGACUGGAACUUCCGGUGGAGCGGUGAAAUGCGUUGAGAUCGGAAGGAACGCCCGUGGCGAAAGCGAGUCCCUGGACCCUUUCUGACGCUGAGACGCGAAAGCCAGGGGAGCGAACGGGAUUAGAUACCCGAGUAGUCCCUGUCUCUAUAC
RNAcentral lists this ribosomal RNA (301 nucleotides) under uncultured bacterium. Its description in RNAcentral is "partial 16S ribosomal RNA". It matches the Rfam family "Bacterial small subunit ribosomal RNA", at positions 509 to 807 of the family's 1533-position model. The record is from RNAcentral.